AUUUUAUUCCUAUAAAUUAAUCAUAUCAUAUUUUAUUUAUAACAUGCAAAAAGGAGAAAAUAUGGCUAAAACUCUUAAGAUUGUUCAUUUUAUGAUUUUAUUUAUUUAUGUAUUUUCUCUUGCAAGAAACAUUUCUGCAAUAAUUGAAUGUAACACAGAUGCAGAUUGUCACAAAUUGUUGCCUACAAGUUGGAAGUGCAUUAACAACAAAUGUACAUUUCUUAAACCUCCACGAGUAAGACUUCCAAAACAAUAAACCAUAUGUGAAAAUAAAUGUAUUAGCCCUAAAUAAAUGUUUUUUUUUUCUUUCAUAAUUUAAGACUUUGUAUUCUAAGAUGUUGGUAAUAAAAUGAAACAAGGCACUCGGAAUAUUAUUUAUUUAUUUUUCUCUGAUAAUAUAUGUUGGUCAUCCAUCUGAUGAUCAUUAAUUUCCCUAA
Vicia villosa (hairy vetch) is the source of this 437-nucleotide long non-coding RNA. RefSeq lists it as uncharacterized. The transcript is spliced from 2 exons. The record is from RefSeq and is a predicted model, not a curated record. Lineage: Eukaryota; Viridiplantae; Streptophyta; Magnoliopsida; Fabales; Fabaceae.